CUUGGACUCUUUUUCAAAUAACCAAGAGAUAAGUUGUUUCUAGCUUCAAAACUCGUGGAUAAUGGGCCGGGCUCUCUACCCUUCUCCAUUUAAAUACCAGAUUUGGUUCACAAUAGAGUUUGAACUGACUUAUGCUUACCACAAAUACCAGAUCGUACUACCUUUCCAUUAAACCAAAGCACUGGAGGAGAACUCAUCAGAUUCAACUGGAACAUAAUAUGAUUUUAAUGUUAGUGUGCAUUUUAGUAAUACACAGUAAACUAAAGAGAACCCAAACAAAGGAACAUCAAGCGG
RNAcentral lists this long non-coding RNA (294 nucleotides) under Capsicum annuum. RNAcentral's name for it is "long non-coding RNA (CANN_LNC016938)". Lineage: Eukaryota; Viridiplantae; Streptophyta; Magnoliopsida; Solanales; Solanaceae. The record is from RNAcentral.